RNAcentral lists this ribosomal RNA (440 nucleotides) under uncultured bacterium. RNAcentral's name for it is "partial 16S ribosomal RNA". It matches the Rfam family "Bacterial small subunit ribosomal RNA", at positions 338 to 795 of the family's 1533-position model. The record is from RNAcentral.
CCUACGGGAGGCAGCAGUGGGGGAUAUUGCACAAUGGGGGGAACCCUGAUGCAGCGACGCCGCGUGGGUGAAGAAGCGCCUCGGCGCGUAAAGCCCUGUCAGCAGGGAAGAAAAUGACGGUACCUGAAGAAGAAGCCCCGGCUAACUACGUGCCAGCAGCCGCGGUAAUACGUAGGGGGCAAGCGUUAUCCGGAUUUACUGGGUGUAAAGGGGGCGCAGACGGCGAUGCAAGCCAGGAGUGAAAGCCCGGGGCCCAACCCCGGGACUGCUCUUGGAACUGCGUGGCUGGAGUGCAGGAGGGGCAGGCGGAAUUUCUGGUGUAGCGGUGAAAGGCGUAGAUAUCAGGAGGAACACCGGUGGCGAAGGCGGCUUGCUGGACUGCAACUGACGUUGAGGCCCGAAAGCGUGGGGAGCAAACAGGAUUAGAUACCCGUGUAGUC